Molecule: ribosomal RNA, 468 nt
Filed under: uncultured bacterium
Lineage: Bacteria
Description: partial 16S ribosomal RNA
Rfam family: Bacterial small subunit ribosomal RNA
Source: RNAcentral
GACGAACGCUGGCGGCGUGCUUAACACAUGCAAGUCGAACGGAAAGGCCCUGCUUUUGUGGGGUGCUCGAGUGGCGAACGGGUGAGUAACACGUGAGUAACCUGCCCUUGACUUUGGGAUAACUUCAGGAAACUGGGGCUAAUACCGGAUAGGAGCUCCUGCUGCAUGGUGGGGGUUGGAAAGUUUCGGCGGUUGGGGAUGGACGGCCGGCUUAUGAGCUUGUUGGUGGGGUAGUGGCUUACCAAGGCUUUGACGGGUAGCCGGCCUGAGAGGGUGACCGGCGACAAUGGGACUGCGAUACGGACCAGACUGCUACGGGAGGCAGCAGUGGGGAAUAUUGCACAAUGGGGGGAAGCCUGAUGCAGCAAUGCCGCGUGCGGGAUGACGGCCUUCGGGUUGUAAACCGCUUUCGCCUGUGACGAAGCGUGAGUGACGGUAAUGGGUAAAGAAGCACCGGCUAACUACGUG